UACAGAGGUCCCAAGCGUUGUUCGGAUUCACUGGGCGUAAAGGGUGCGUAGGCGGUCGGGUAAGUCUGAUGUGAAAUCUCACAGCUUAACUGUGAAACUGCAUUGGAUACUAUUCGGCUUGAGAGUUGGAGGGGGGACUGGAAUUCUUGGUGUAGCAGUGAAAUGCGUAGAUAUCAAGGGGAACACCAGUGGCGAAGGCGAGUCCCUGGACAACUUCUGACGCUGAGGCACGAAAGCUAGGGGAGCAAACAGG
Molecule: ribosomal RNA, 253 nt
Filed under: uncultured bacterium
Lineage: Bacteria
Description: partial 16S ribosomal RNA
Rfam family: Bacterial small subunit ribosomal RNA
Source: RNAcentral